AUUGAACGCUGGCGGCAGGCCUAACACCUGCAAGUAGAACGAGUGGCGGACGGGUGAGUAAUGUCUGGGAAACUGCCUGAUGGAGGGGGAUAACUACUGGAAACGGUAGCUAAUACCGCAUACCAUCGGAUGUGCCCAGAUGGGAUUAGCUAGUAGGUGGGGUAACUGCUCACCUAGGCUACGGUCCCUAGCUGGUCUGAGAGGAUGACCAGCCACGCUGGAACUGAGACACGGUCAUGACUCCUACGGGAGUCAGCAGUGGGGAAUAUUGCACAAUGGGCGCAAGCCUGAUGCAGCCAUGCCGCGUGUAUGAAGAAGGCCUUCGGGUUGUAAAGUACUUUCAGCGGGGAGGCGUUACCCGCAGAAGAAGCACCGGCUAACUCCGUGCCAGCAGCCGCGGUAAUAC
RNAcentral lists this ribosomal RNA (406 nucleotides) under uncultured bacterium. Its description in RNAcentral is "partial 16S ribosomal RNA". It matches the Rfam family "Bacterial small subunit ribosomal RNA", at positions 30 to 526 of the family's 1533-position model. The record is from RNAcentral.